This 368-nucleotide ribosomal RNA is filed under the name uncultured organism. Its description in RNAcentral is "bacterial SSU rRNA". It matches the Rfam family "Bacterial small subunit ribosomal RNA", at positions 526 to 896 of the family's 1533-position model. The record is from RNAcentral.
CGGAGGGUGCAAGCGUUGUCCGGAUUUAUUGGGUUUAAAGGGUGCGUAGGCGGCCCGUUAAGUCAGUGGUGAAAGCCUCCAGCUCAACUGGAGAACUGCCAUUGAUACUGACGGGCUUGAGUACAGACGAGGUUGGCGGAAUUGAUUGUGUAGCGGUGAAAUGCAUAGAUACAAUCAAGAACUCCGAUUGCGUAGGCAGCUAACUAGGCUGUAACUGACGCUGAGGCACGAAAGCGUGGGGAGCGAACAGGAUUAGAUACCCUGGUAGUCCACGCUGUAAACGAUGAUUACUCGAUGUUGGCGAUAAACUGUCAGCGUCUUAGCGAAAGCGUUAAGUAAUCCACCUGGGGAGUACGCCCGCAAGGGUG